GGUGGCUCAAUGGUGGAGUGCUUGCCUUGCAUGCAUGAAGCCCUGGGUUCAAUUCCUCAGCACCA
This 65-nucleotide transfer RNA is filed under the name Dipodomys ordii (Ord's kangaroo rat). It matches the Rfam family "tRNA". Rfam says of the family: Transfer RNA (tRNA) molecules are approximately 80 nucleotides in length. Their secondary structure includes four short double-helical elements and three loops (D, anti-codon, and T loops). The record is from Rfam by way of RNAcentral. Lineage: Eukaryota; Metazoa; Chordata; Mammalia; Rodentia; Heteromyidae.